GACGGUUUGGCCGAGUGGUCUAAGGCGCCAGAUUUAGGCUCUGGUCCGAAAGGGCGUGGGGUUCAAAUCCCACAGCCGUCA
This 81-nucleotide transfer RNA is filed under the name Ipomoea nil (Japanese morning glory). It matches the Rfam family "tRNA". Rfam says of the family: Transfer RNA (tRNA) molecules are approximately 80 nucleotides in length. Lineage: Eukaryota; Viridiplantae; Streptophyta; Magnoliopsida; Solanales; Convolvulaceae. The record is from Rfam by way of RNAcentral.